RNAcentral lists this ribosomal RNA (233 nucleotides) under uncultured bacterium. RNAcentral's name for it is "partial 16S ribosomal RNA". It matches the Rfam family "Bacterial small subunit ribosomal RNA", at positions 103 to 334 of the family's 1533-position model. The record is from RNAcentral.
CGCGGGUGAGUAACGCGUAUCCAACCUGCCGUCUACUCUUGGACAGCCUUCUGAAAGGAAGAUUAAUACAAGAUGGCAUCAUGAGUCCGCAUGUUCACAUGAUUAAAGGUAUUCCGGUAGACGAUGGGGAUGCGUUCCAUUAGAUAGUAGGCGGGGUAACGGCCCACCUAGUCUUCGAUGGAUAGGGGUUCUGAGAGGAAGGUCCCCCACAUUGGAACUGAGACACGGUCCAA